RNAcentral lists this ribosomal RNA (496 nucleotides) under uncultured bacterium. Its description in RNAcentral is "partial 16S ribosomal RNA". It matches the Rfam family "Bacterial small subunit ribosomal RNA", at positions 28 to 507 of the family's 1533-position model. The record is from RNAcentral.
GAUGAACGCUGGCGGCGUGCCAAUACAUGCAAGUCGAGCGAACAGACGAGGAGCUUGCUCCUCUGACGUUAGCGGCGGACGGGUGAGUAACACGUGGAUAACCUACCUAUAAGACUGGGAUAACUUCGGGAAACCGGAGCUAAUACCGGAUAAUAUAUUGAACCGUAUGGUUCAAUAGUGAAAGACGGUUUUGCUGUCACUUAUAGAUGGAUCCGCGCCGCAUUAGCUAGUUGGUAAGGUAACGGCUUACCAAGGCAACGAUGCGUAGCCGACCUGAGAGGGUGAUCGGCCACACUGGAACUGAGACACGGUCCAGACUCCUACGGGAGGCAGCAGUAGGGAAUCUUCCGCAAUGGGCGAAAGCUUGACGGAGCAACGCCGCGUGAGUGAUGAAGGUCUUCGGAUCGUAAAACUCUGUUAUUAGGGAAGAACAAAUGUGUAAGUAACUAUGCACGUCUUGACGGUACCUAAUCAGAAAGCCACGGCUAACUACGUG